GGAGAGAUGGCUGAGCGGUCGAAAGCGGCGGUCUUGAAAACCGUUGUCCCUUUCCGGGACCGGGGGUUCGAAUCCCUCUCUCUCCG
RNAcentral lists this transfer RNA (86 nucleotides) under Spirochaetes bacterium DG_61. RNAcentral's name for it is "tRNA-Ser". It matches the Rfam family "tRNA". From Rfam's summary of the family: Transfer RNA (tRNA) molecules are approximately 80 nucleotides in length. Lineage: Bacteria; Pseudomonadati; Spirochaetota. The record is from RNAcentral.